AAUAGUUUGCACGCUAAUACAGAUUUAGACACUUGUACGAUAGUAAUAGAAAUGUAAUGCGCAACUAUAAAACAGCGACACGUACAGACUCGGCGCGUGCACUGCCUAUACGUGGAUAUUAAAAUCAAGUCAGAGAUUUAGCAAUUGUCUUAAUAGUUUUUAACACGCUCAAAUUUAUAUGCAAAAUUGGCUGGAAAGUGUGAAAAUUAUAAAUCGCAUCUUUGGAAUAUAUUCUAUAGUGAAAGCUGAAUUUAACGCUGUUCUUAACUGGCUUUGUGCUUUCAUGUGUGAUUGAGGCUUAGUGCCAUUGUGGAAUAAUCAGCUGAUAUGUGCUUGUCAUAAAGACAUCAAAAAAGGUAAACAAUGCUGACAUGAGAUGUAGGAAUCACUAGAACCAGCAGGAAAUUUUUUGGAACAGAAGUAAUCGCUCGUAGAAAGUUAACAUCAUCAUUUGAUUUCAUCAACAUUUAGUAAGUCAUCAUCAAAUCACUAGAUGCAAAUUUGCACGAGUAUAAAAAGUGAAAUGCGUCGUAAUACCGUGUUAUAUGAAUAUUACGUAAGAAAUGGCCUUUGUAUCCCGACUGCCGAUUUCAGCAAAAACACAUAAAAUGUAUAGGAUCCAGUUCACAGAUAUAGUGAGUGAAAACGUCUUUUUUGAGCGAAGCUCCCUGAGAUCAGCUGUAGUACCUUUCAAAAUAAAUAUUUUUCCUAAUACUAAGUCUUAAAAUACAGUUAAAAUAUACAAUAUGUGUACAAAUUUUUGGAUCAAUAAAUUUAAGUUUUCGGCGAGCUAGCCUUUGGAUGGAUAAAAUCCGGGUAAAUUCCGGUAAUGUAGAGCCGGCUAUCUUCGGAAACCCUACUCAUCUGAAACCCCGUCGAAACAGCGCGUUUCCUGUGCCUACCGUUGGUUGACCUCGAUGACAACUUAUCUAAACCUCACCACCCUAACGGGGACUAGAUAACCGUAACAACAACAACAACUACUACUAAGAACUACACGACUAGCUAAUGAACCAAAAGAUAAUGGUGCCUUCCAGCGAGUUAUGUUUAGCUAAGAAUCGCCAUCGAUCAGAUGGAAAGACCACUGUAGCGGCAGAAUUACAACCAGCUACACCAACAACACAUAUCAUCACUGUACUCAACUUAAAAUUCAUUGAUCAUAUGGUAUAAUUCUACUUGGUACACAUGUAUGUAUAUAUCAAUCAAUUAGAAGGAUUUAUGUUGUUUUAUAUACUUUUAUAAACAAAUUUAUCUACAAAAGCCCAACAAUUUUUUUUAGUGCAUUGACAUUUGUAUUACCGAAUUUUUUUUACUUAAACGCGAUAAGAUAUUGUGCAAAAAAAGAAGAACCGUCUAAUCAAGGUGACAUUUAUUUUGCCUAGUCAUGGUCUGGUCUGCGCAGUCACACAAAAAAUACAAUACAAAAUACAAAAAUGCGAAAAAUAUAAAAAUACAGUGUAUACAAUAGAUUGAAAUAUGUAUGUAUGUAUCUAUCAAAACUAAAAACAUACAAAUUUACUAUAAUAGUAAUAUGAAAUAAAAAAAAAAUCAAGAACAUUUUUUUUUAUUUCACAUUAGAAUUGUCCCCUUACAGUCACAGUUUAACUUUAGAGGUUUUUCUUAAAACUUUAUAAAAUUGUGUUAGGCAGUUAUGUUAUGCAUACGUACAUAUUUUAAUCAUCUGUAUUAUUUGAUAAGAUUAUCAAAUUUGCGUUAUAAAUAACGAAAGCUAUUAUAAUGGAAAAAUAUUUAUAUCAUAAAUUCAGAGAUAAUAAUCAAUGGCAAAACAAAGAAUGCACAA
Long non-coding RNA from Bactrocera dorsalis (oriental fruit fly), 1801 nucleotides. RefSeq lists it as uncharacterized. Lineage: Eukaryota; Metazoa; Arthropoda; Insecta; Diptera; Tephritidae. The record is from RefSeq and is a predicted model, not a curated record. The transcript has 4 exons.